CGGGCCGUCCGACCCAUCGCUGCGCGGGAGGGUAGGUCCUCCGCGCGUAGAGCAAAGUCCGGACUCGUAGAAGAGACCGCUCGGGCCAACAACCCGAGGGGCGGCGGCGAGAGCCGGCCGUCACGUCAAGUGCAACAGAGAGCAGACCAGCCGAUGGUCCCGGGCAUCGCCCGGGACACAGGUGAUGGGUGAAAGGGUGGGGUAAGAGCCCACCGGCGGUAUCCCGCGAGGGACCGGCCAGGUAAACGACCGGCGCGAGCAAGCCAAAGUAGCGAAGGACCUUUCCCUGCGGGGAUGGUCCGGAGCAGGUAGGCGCAGCCCCUCCGAGGAGGGGCCGGGGCUUCGGAAGAGGUCCCGAGAUGGAUGAUGGGAUAGAGCAGAAUCCGGCUUACGGGGCGGCCCGGGCU
Rubrobacter radiotolerans is the source of this 407-nucleotide non-coding RNA. It matches the Rfam family "Bacterial RNase P class A". Rfam says of the family: Ribonuclease P (RNase P) is a ubiquitous endoribonuclease, found in archaea, bacteria and eukarya as well as chloroplasts and mitochondria. Its best characterised activity is the generation of mature 5'-ends of tRNAs by cleaving the 5'-leader elements of precursor-tRNAs. Lineage: Bacteria; Bacillati; Actinomycetota; Rubrobacteria; Rubrobacterales; Rubrobacteraceae. The record is from Rfam.